This 320-nucleotide ribosomal RNA is filed under the name Periclimenaeus hecate. RNAcentral's name for it is "partial 12S ribosomal RNA". The record is from RNAcentral. Lineage: Eukaryota; Metazoa; Arthropoda; Malacostraca; Decapoda; Palaemonidae.
UCUUUAAACUUUAAAGAAUUUUGCGGUACUUUAGUCCUGUUAGAGGAACCUGUUCUUUAAAACGAUACUCCACGAAUUAUCUUAUUUUUUCUUGUUUUCAGUAUGUAUACCGCCAUUAUUAGAUAGUGUUUUUAGAUAUCUAUUAUAAUAUAUCAUUUAUAGUAUAUUAGGUCAAGGUGCAGCCAAUGAAAAAGUAGUUGUGGGUUACAGUGUGUUGUAUAUUUCGGAUGAGGGGUUGAAUAAUUUCUUGGAAGUUGGAUUUAAUUGUAAUUUUUUUUUAAUAAGUAAUAUUGAUAUUGGCUCUAAAAAUGUACACAUCA